GAUGAACGCUGGCGGCGUGCCUAAUACAUGCAAGUCGAGCGAACGGACGAGAAGCUUGCUUCUCUGAUGUUAGCGGCGGACGGGUGAGUAACACGUGGAUAACCUACCUAUAAGACUGGGAUAACUUCGGGAAACCGGAGCUAAUACCGGAUAAUAUUUUGAACCGCAUGGUUCAAAAGUAAAAGACGGUCUUGCUGUCACUUAUAGAUGGAUCCGCGCUGCAUUAGCUAGUUGGUAAGGUAACGGCUUACCAAGGCAACGAUGCAUAGCCGACCUGAGAGGGUGAUCGGCCACACUGGAACUGAGACACGGUCCAGACUCCUACGGGAGGCAGCAGUAGGGAAUCUUCCGCAAUGGGCGAAAGCCUGACGGAGCAACGCCGCGUGAGUGAUGAAGGUCUUCGGAUCGUAAAACUCUGUUAUUAGGGAAGAACAUAUGUGUAAGUAACUGUGCACAUCUUGACGGUACCUAAUCAGAAAGCCACGGCUAACUACGUGCCAGCAGCCGCGGUAAUACGUAGGUGGCAAGCGUUAUCCGGAAUUAUUGGGCGUAAAGCGCGCGUAGGCGGUUUUUUAAGUCUGAUGUGAAAGCCCACGGCUCAACCGUGGAGGGUCAUUGGAAACUGGAAAACUUGAGUGCAGAAGAGGAAAGUGGAAUUCCAUGUGUAGCGGUGAAAUGCGCAGAGAUAUGGAGGAACACCGGUGGCGAAGGCGACUUUCUGGUCUGUAACUGACGCUGAUGUGCGAAAGCGUGGGGAUCAAACAGGAUUAGAUACCCUGGUAGUCCACGCCGUAAACGAUGAGUGCUAAGUGUUAGGGGGUUUCCGCCCCUUAGUGCUGCAGCUAACGCAUUAAGCACUCCGCCUGGGGAGUACGACCGCAAGGUUGAAACUCAAAGGAAUUGACGGGGACCCGCACAAGCGGUGGAGCAUGUGGUUUAAUUCGAAGCAACGCGAAGAACCUUACCAAAUCUUGACAUCCUUUGACAACUCUAGAGAUAGAGCUUUCCCCUUCGGGGGACAAAGUGACAGGUGGUGCAUGGUUGUCGUCAGCUCGUGUCGUGAGAUGUUGGGUUAAGUCCCGCAACGAGCGCAACCCUUAAGCUUAGUUGCCAUCAUUAAGUUGGGCACUCUAAGUUGACUGCCGGUGACAAACCGGAGGAAGGUGGGGAUGACGUCAAAUCAUCAUGCCCCUUAUGAUUUGGGCUACACACGUGCUACAAUGGACAAUACAAAGGGCAGCGAAACCGUGAGGUCAAGCAAAUCCCAUAAAGUUGUUCUCAGUUCGGAUUGUAGUCUGCAACUCGACUACAUGAAGCUGGAAUCGCUAGUAAUCGUAGAUCAGCAUGCUACGGUGAAUACGUUCCCGGGUCU
Molecule: ribosomal RNA, 1372 nt
Filed under: uncultured bacterium
Lineage: Bacteria
Description: bacterial SSU rRNA
Rfam family: Bacterial small subunit ribosomal RNA
Source: RNAcentral